RNAcentral lists this ribosomal RNA (446 nucleotides) under uncultured bacterium. Its description in RNAcentral is "bacterial SSU rRNA". It matches the Rfam family "Bacterial small subunit ribosomal RNA", at positions 28 to 507 of the family's 1533-position model. The record is from RNAcentral.
GAUGAACGCUGGCGGCGCGCUUAAUACAUGCAAGUCGAACGACCUUCGGGUAAGUGGCAAACGGGUGAGUAAUGCAUAGGUAAUCUGCCCUUAAGACCGGGAUAACACUUUGAAAAGGGUGCUAAUACCGGAUACGCUUUUUUGAUCACAUGAUCUUAAAGGAAAUGAUUUUUCGCUUAAGGAGGAGCCUACGUCUGAUUAGUUUGUUGGUGGGGUAACGGCCUACCAAGACUACGAUCAGUAACUGGUCUGAGAGGAUGAUCAGUCACACUGGAACUGAGACACGGUCCAGACUCCUACGGGAGGCAGCAGUAGGGAAUAUUGCGCAAUGGGGAAACCCUGACGCAGCGACGCCGCGUGGGUGAAGUAAGUUUUCGGAAUGUAAAGCCUAGUCAAGAGGGAAGAUUAUGACGGUACCUCUAGAGGAAGCCCCGGCUAAUUACGUG